Molecule: long non-coding RNA, 795 nt
Organism: Musa acuminata subsp. malaccensis (wild Malaysian banana)
Lineage: Eukaryota; Viridiplantae; Streptophyta; Magnoliopsida; Zingiberales; Musaceae
Source: RefSeq, a predicted model, not a curated record
GAGGCAGGAAAAGGCCGCCAAUGAUUAAAGAUAAUUAAACCAAAAAAGAGUAAUUUUGAAGAACAAGCGGUGUCGAUCGAUCGGCUCUCUCAUCUGUCCUCGUCGUCGUUGUUUCCGUCGAAGAUAUCAAUUGUUAUGGGUGUCAUCCAGCAUCAAGUUGGUGUUUGCAUGCCUUCCACCCAUAGGUGUUGUUAAGGGCCAAAGUUGGAGGCUUCUAAACACUGCUUCCACAGGCCUGUGAUGAUGGAGUUGUCAUGCCUUUUGCACUUCAAACAGUGUGACAAUACUUCCAUCUUAUUCUUAUGGCUACAACAGUAUAUUUGAUCAUUUGGUAUCAUAGUCUUUGAUGUUUCAGUUGGGGAAAAAGCCAUCAAGCAGGUUAUCUACAAACUCGAGCUUGGUUGUAACUGUUGGAAUCAUGGGGUACCUAAACUCUAUCCAACUGUUGGAAUCAUCAUAUUCUAUAUGUGUCUGAAAAGGACCAGCAAUCUUUUGGGACCAAGUUCAUCAAAGAUACCUUUGCUGCUGCGUUGAUCAACUUUUGAAGAUAUGGAUUGUAAACAUGUAGGUUAGGAACCAGGUUUAUGAAUGCCUUUGUAAAUCUUGUAUCAUAGGAUGUGCCGAAAUGCAGAUGAUUCAUCUGUAUAUGGGAAGGUAGUCAUCUUAUUUUAACGUGAGUGGUAUAACCAGUUCCAAUGUUACAGACACUGAUGUAAACAUAAUUUGCAAACGGGAUGUGGUUAUACAAUUAAACCUUGAUAACAGUGAAGAGUUCAUCUGCAGGUGCUUAUGAUU